GUCUUAUAGUCAAAAUUGACUUUAAAUUGCAAAUUUAAAGGUGAUCUCUAAGGUCUAAGGCUUA
This 64-nucleotide transfer RNA is filed under the name Coleoptera sp. ACP-2013. RNAcentral describes it as "tRNA-Cys". The record is from RNAcentral. Lineage: Eukaryota; Metazoa; Arthropoda; Insecta; Coleoptera.